This 111-nucleotide ribosomal RNA is filed under the name Dasypus novemcinctus (nine-banded armadillo). The record is from RNAcentral. Lineage: Eukaryota; Metazoa; Chordata; Mammalia; Cingulata; Dasypodidae.
GUCUACGGCCACACCACCUGAACGCGCCCCAUCUCGUGCGAUCUCGGAAGCUAAGCGGUCAGGCCUGGUUAGAACCUGGAUGGGAGCAGAUAUUCCGAGAAGCGGAGCACC